GACGAACGCUGGCGGCGUGCCUAAUACAUGCAAGUAGAACGCACAGUUUAUACCGUAGCUUGCUACACCAUAAACUGUGAGUUGCGAACGGGUGAGUAACGCGUAGGUAACCUGCCUGGUAGCGGGGGAUAACUAUUGGAAACGAUAGCUAAUACCGCAUAAUAUUGAUUAUUGCAUGAUAAUUGAUUGAAAGAUGCUAUUGCAUCACUACCAGAUGGACCUGCGUUGUAUUAGCUAGUAGGUGAGGUAACGGCUCACCUAGGCGACGAUACAUAGCCGACCUGAGAGGGUGAUCGGCCACACUGGGACUGAGACACGGCCCAGACUCCUACGGGAGGCAGCAGUAGGGAAUCUUCGGCAAUGGACGAAAGUCUGACCGAGCAACGCCGCGUGAGUGAAGAAGGUUGUCGGAUCGUAAAGCUCUGUUGUAAGAGAAGAACGGGUGUGAGAGUGGAAAGUUCACACUGUGACGGUAUCUUACCAGAAAGGGACGGCUAACUACGUG
RNAcentral lists this ribosomal RNA (505 nucleotides) under uncultured bacterium. RNAcentral describes it as "partial 16S ribosomal RNA". It matches the Rfam family "Bacterial small subunit ribosomal RNA", at positions 28 to 507 of the family's 1533-position model. The record is from RNAcentral.